GACGAACGCUGGCGGCGUGCCUAACACAUGCAAGUCAACUUGAGGGAAGGAGCAAUCUGACCUGAUGGUGGCGCAAGGGUGCGUAACGCGUAAGUAACUUGCCCCAAGGUAAGGAAUAACGUCGAGAAAUCGGCGCUAAAUACCUCAUAAUGCAGCGGAUCCGCAUGGAUAUGUUGUUAAAGGUUUACCGCCUUGGGAUAGGCUUGCGUCUGAUUAGCUAGUUGGUGUGGUAAUGGCACACCAAGGCUACGAUCAGUAACUGGUCUGAGAGGAUGAUCAGUCACACUGGAACUGAGACACGGUCCAGACUCCUACGGGAGGCAGCAGUGAGGAAUAUUGGGCAAUGCACGAAAAGUGUGACCCAGCAACGCCGCGUGGAGG
RNAcentral lists this ribosomal RNA (381 nucleotides) under uncultured bacterium. RNAcentral describes it as "bacterial SSU rRNA". It matches the Rfam family "Bacterial small subunit ribosomal RNA", at positions 28 to 407 of the family's 1533-position model. The record is from RNAcentral.